CCAGCAUGGCACUAGAGUGUACUAUGGUAUUUAUACGCACACAGAUAAUCCGGAAGCGCACGGAUACCGUUGAAGCUUUUACCCGGUUAAAGGUUUUAUCGUAUCCACAGGGAAAUGGGAGAACUGAUCUACGCUCUAACUUAACCAAGAUAAGUAAAUAGGUGUGAAUAGGAAAGAUGGUAGAAUCAAAUAAGAACAAUAUUAAAGGUAAGAUAACAGUGAGUGAUAAUAUGGGAAUAGAGAGUAGAGCAAUUCUAGUAUAUGGGCGAUGGUAGCAGAAUAGAGAGAAUAACUAUGGUUUCUCUACUUCAAAGGGGUAUGUCUAUGUCUGGGACGAACCACGUGAUAAGAGUACACCACAAAGGAUGCUUAUCCAUAGGCCGAUAAACCCUACCCGUCCUGCUAACGAGAGGUGGACUACACGGGACCAACGUAACUGUCACCUACGCGGCCUACCACACGAUCCAGCUAGACAGGGGAUAUCCACAAGUAAUCUAGGUCUAAGCACCACGCUUACACCUAUACUACAACUCUGACCUAUAGGGUCCUAUAGAUUAGAAGUACUCAAAAGAGUUGUGAACCAGAACAUACAUGAUUAGUAAUUGCAUAAUGAAUUAGAAGUAGAUUACCAGAGUCAUCCCAUGAGCAAGCUUGAUUAGAGCUUGAUCAUGGCGAAGUACAACCGGAGGAAGAACCGACAGGCCGGCCUCUCCUCUAAUCCUCCUUCGCUCUCCAUCUCGCUACUAUCUAGAUCUACUCUAGUUUAGAGAAGAGAGGAGAGCUCUCAUCUCUAAACCCUAGCUUUUGCUCUGUCUAUGAAUAAUGAAUAAUGAUCAAGGGGUGCCUCCUCCAGGGGCCAGGGGGUCUAGUUUUAUAGUCCCCUCAAGUGAACCUGGGCCGUCGGAUCAAACUGACAUUGAUUGAAUGGUUAUUCUUGAUCCUUUAGGUCGGUGGAGCAUAAUCCGCGAGAUUGAGCGUGAUUGGCCGAAAAAGGUGGGCGGGCGCCCUAAGGACUUGGGCGGGCGCCCUGUCCCUGACUCCGUUCGGUCUCCGCUUCCUUCCCGUGGCUUCUGGAGUCUUCUGGAUGUAAGAUAAUUGUGCGGCACGUUGAUAUCUCUAUGUAAUCCCGACGUGUGGGCCUUUCUUCCUUAUUUCCUGAUAACCCCCUGCAGAAAUAGACAAACACCAAAACUCGUGGAAUUCUGUCAGAUAAAACCCUAAGUCUAGAUGUUGAUUUCAUUUGGAUCCUUUUCUUUGUUUAUUUGAUAAUUAAAUUUGAUACUUAAGGACCGUCAACAAACUCCCCCAAGCUUACCUCUUGCUCGUCCCUGAGCAAGGAUAGACUCCGCAAUGGAUCAGAAGUUGUUGCAAUAUCUUUAAAAAUUGACGGUACACAUGCUUUUAAAUGAGGUCCCAUCUCUGAGUUAGAGUAAACUGUCAAGACUUAAAACUUACUUACUUUACCUUUCACCAUGGGACUUGUAACCGUCACUUCUGUCUUGAGUGGUUAAAAGAUAGAACAGUCCAGUCAAGUGCCACGUCGCUUAUUCUUGAUCAGCUAUAGCUCUGGAGUUUUUGUAGAUUUUCAAAUAAAACUCAGAGAUUCCUUGUAUGACUCUCUAAAUCUCUCUUUUGUGGUAUUUCUGGAUCCUUACCAAGGCAGUGAUGGUAUAUGCCUUCUCUCAAGAUAUGUAGUAUUUGUGGUAUAAGGCAUAGUGACAUUGCCUUCUCUCUCACCCUACUCUAAUAAGGCUUUAAUAUCUGGAGCUUAUAGGUGGGAGAUAAAGUAUACAUACUUACAAGACAUUUAUUGUGUAGUCAAACUAUGGAUCCAAAGAAACAAAUCAAUAAGCCAAAUCAAGAUGUGCAUGUGUGGCGAAUGAAUGGUGUAUGGUGAUGAUGGUGAUAACAAUGGUGAAAGUCUAAUUCUACCUUUGCUCUUUUGAGGGGAUACAUACCUUCCUUGCUUUUUGAAACUUUAUGAGGAGAAUGAGAUGCUCUUCUUUUUCUUUCCUCUCAGGUGGGUAUCUUGUACCCCUAAUUCUACUGUCGGACACUUGUCCAUUUUUACCUCUCGUCUCACUUUUUCUUUCUUUCGAGGUUCCGGGCACUUGCCCCUUUUUAUUUCCUCAUUUAUUUUUUUUCUUUUCUCUCUUUUUUUUUCUACUUUUUUUUAGAGCACUCAUCUCUUAAGAUAAUAUAGCAAGUGGUAGUAGCAAGAUAACUUGAGCAUUUAUUUCACAAGGGAAAAACACAGAUGUUUUUGGCUAUUCUCUCCCGAAUCAGGAGUAGAAUAUUUUUAGGUGAUUCUGGAGAUGGAAAUGGAUGGAUAUAUGUGGAUGGUACUUCCGGAGUAGAAGUAGCAUAUAUAUGAGUGAACGUGCAAGUGAAUCUUGAUUUAACCACAUGACAAGCUCCUAAGGGUCUACACAGCUUGACCACACUCAAUGCUCAUAAGCAGUAAAUAAUAAAUGUGUGGCUCAAAGUCUAGCAAGCAUGUAUAUAUGGCUAUGGUAGGAAUUUAAACUUUCAUCAUACAGGAACUCAUCAUGCAACAUUUUAAAGAUUUUUCAAAGAUAAAAUUCUCCAGAAUUCUAGCAUCUCUAGGAAUAGAUAAACAGCAGCUCAACCUUCCCAUAUCAUAUCCGUUAACAACUUAGAUUUCAGAUCAAGUUUUCAUUCCACAAGUUUAGAUCUAGAGGAAGCUUUAAAUUAUAACAGUUAUGUCUAAACUUGAGAGAGAACUUCAAAUUUGCAAAUUAGGCAGAGCAACUAUUAAUCAUAUCCAUGCUAGAGUUUUAUUAUUAAGAUUCAGAUUAGCAUAGCCACUUUAUUUAUUUAUUAAACACACUAAGCAAAAGAUAUAUAUAUAUAAGCACAAAAUCUUUAUUUGGUUUUUCAUAGUUUAUGUAUUUUAAUAUUCUAAUAUAAUAUAAGUAUAAAGAUAGGUAGAAAUACUUAGCGAGAUAAAUGGGGUGCUCUCCCCCAAGCUGAAUUUUGACGUAAUUUCUCUUGAUGUAGCUAGCAGGUGGCAGAGGUGUAUUUGAAAGUCAGCAGCAUUCUGGCAGCGAUUAGAAUGUCCUCCGUCUGCUAGUCUUCUUGAUUCUUAAAUUCUGUGGAGCUCAAAUAGACAACAAAGCUUGUGGAACUAAUUAAGUAUUAGCAUAAAUAUCUAGCCUUCAUCACGUUGAGCUUCCUCAAUAAAUAUUACUCCUUAUUUUUAUAUUUUUAUUUUAUAAAGUAGAAAAGAAAUAUUUAUUUUAUUUUUAUGCCACCACAGUGAAGGUACUUAUGGGUUUUAUGCCACUCGUAUACUCACAUGGGGCUUAGUAUUUUUUAACAUUUUUAUUCUCUUUUCAAGAUAGCAUGAUUAACUAAUAAUCUAUUUAAGGAAAGUAAAUAAUUAAAUGGAAAAGGGAAUGCAGAAAGGAUAAAUAUGGAUAACUACCAAAUUUUAAGUCUUCUUGUCAAGACUUCUCAUCGUGUUCAUUCUCCAGGUGCGUCAUUUGAUUCAGGUGCGGACCUUGACGUCAGCACCUUUUAAUACGGUGUCACCCAUGUUCUUCGUUUUCCUAGCAGUUCGAAGUGCGGUGUUAGCAGUAUCUUGCUCAGUGUGUUUGUGCUCGUAGUGUACCUGCUCAUAGAGACAAGGCAGAGAUCAAGUGCAUGGGCCCUGUUGGUGGAAAACACCAACAGAACCAAAAGUGUAUUUGUUCUUCUCUAACCUUAAGCAUAGUGAGCAAGACAAGUUGAUGGAUGAUAAGUUCAUGAGUGUAGUACUUAUAACAUUUGUCAGAUUAGAUCGCUCAACCUUAUGGAAAGAUAAUCUAUCUAUGUAUAUGUCUUUUUCUUUAUAUCUCUCAAUGAUUGAAUGUGUAACAUUUUAGCUCAUAUGAUUAGGAGUGUGGGAUCAUGGAGGUAGUACUAAGAACAAGGAUUAAAGGACUAAAUAUGUUGAAUCAGUUGGGUUGGUUAAUCUAGAGUUGUAAAUCAUACACGUUUGUCUCUUUUAUUUAUAUGGACGCCAGAACCAAGGAGAAGCUUAUAAAAGUGAUAGUCAAGUACCUUAAGAUGUUACCUUGCUCGAAGAGUGAUGGUAGAGUAUCAUCUUGUGGAAGCUUUCCUUUCUUAGCGGUUGUGCGUCGUGUUUGUGGCACCCUCCAUGGAUCAUCUCUCUAUGAUGAAUGAGCUAUGUCCUUCUUGUGCAAAUUGUUAAACUUCAUGUGUCACUCUCUUCGUCUCUAAUGUGAGUUUAUCUCAGGACUUCCCAAAUCGAUAUUGAAAGUUUUUUCUGCAUGGGUUAGUCCGACAAAAUAUACCAAUAUCUACUCAAGCAGUUUUUUUAGUUCAAUAACAAACUAGACUCCAUGUCUAAUCAGAUUAAGGAAGGCUAUUUAACCUAAGCACCAUGCUUAAUUUAAAUGCCAAUGGAAGUAUGGCGAGUACUUCCAAACCAACACUUGCUAGUAAAUAGACAAAGGUAGCAUUACAGCGUUUAUAGUGAUCUACUCAAGUGGAGAUGAAGUAGUGUGACUAGUAUUUAACAAAUUGAGCAUGUCUCAAAGGUAGGGACAACCAGCAUAGCAACAUGGCAAAGGAUGUUUUUAUGUAAAGUACUCCCCCAAGCUUGAAUUUUGCAAAAUUCAAGUUUGGAUGAAUUUAAUUCAAUGUUGUAUGAUGAUUGGUUGGACAUACCUUGUGCUUGUCAUUCAUCCGAUCUUCUUGCUCCAAUCUUAGAAAGGUUAGUGACAAGAAUACCCGAAGGAAUAUAUUUUUUUUACAAUUAUCCUUAUAUGCUCAAUACACAAGGUAAUGUUGCAAAUAAUUAAAGGCUCAUGUUACGAUCUGAUCAAUGCUUAUUUUAAGACACUAAGCUUGUCCUUGGGAAACCAUCAGUUUAUGUUGGCGAAGUGGUUUCCCCUCCGACGCCAACCUAUAUCUAGAUCAACUCAACGAGAUCUACAAUAUUUAUUAUAGACAUAUGCAUCGACAACCGCCCUUUUAAAGUUUUUAUAAAUAGAAAGGAAGAGGGGGUUGGAGAUCUCAAGUGUGGUGAUGUCGGAGAGACCAAUAGAUUGGGAAGAUGUUGCAUAUGAGCAUGGAGUAAACGAAGUGGCUAUGAAAUAAAUUCCAUGCUCAUUAAUGUUAUCUUCGUCUCUAAUCCGAAUGUUCGGAGUUUCUCCUGGAUUGGUCUCACCUAUGUCCUCUUCUGUAGUUGGAUGAAUCUCAUCUUCAAAGGGAGUCAAGAACUCACCAUUUGAAAUUGAGCCAAAGUCAGAACCUAUUAAGGCUUCUUCCUUAUCCAUCCAUUCUACACGUUCUAGCCAUUUAGAACUUGUGAUCAAAAUAGGGGAGGUGUUAGAAUUUUCUAUAUGGCUUAACUCUCCUUCUAUGGCAUUACUUGACAUGUCAUCCUUAUGGUCUUCAUGACUCCUAUGGUUUGGUCGUCUUGGUGAAUUGCUAGGAUCAUCAUGAGACUGAAAAGAAGAGGGAUAAGAGGGAUCUCUAAGGUCAAGGAUGGAUUUAGAACUUGUGAACAUGGAAGGGGAGUAGAUAGAAUUGUCUAUAUGGCUUAGCUCUCCUUCACUUGAUAUGUCAUCCUCGACUUCUUCAUGAUAGGAACCAGGACAUUCUCUAAGAGAAAUAUUAUUGCAAUGAUUUGAAUUAUCCCUGCUUGAAGGUCUCUUAUAGAACCAGAAGUCUAAACCAUCAGCAUCUAAAAGAUUUAAGGUCGGAAUUCCUUCCUCCCUUGGAAAAUUUUGGGGUAUUGAUGGUUUAGGAUCGAUAGCUAAAGUUUGGGAUUGAAGUGGUUGUGAUCUGGCUAUCGAAACUUCUUCUUCUUGUCUAGGAACUGGUUCUUUCUCUUUCUCAGGGAUAUAAAAGCUAGGAGACUUUCCGCUCAUUAAAUCAAUCAAAUUCCAAGCUUCACUAGCGAAUAGGUGGUGGAAAGAUCCUCCAGAGGCCGCUUGAAGGGUUUGCUUAUUUUUCCUAAUAAGGCCCUCAAAAAAGUGAAUUAGAAGAACUUCUUCUGGAAUAGAAAGUUUUGGGCCAGUGAGAGUAAGGUUAAUAAAGCGGUCCCAUGAUUUGCCAAGAGAUUCUUCUUCCAGUUGUCUAAAAGAAAGAAUUUCACGCCGAAGUUCCACCACUUUGGAGAUUGGAAAAUAUUUAGAAAGAAAACUACUAUAUAACUCCUUCCAAUCUCCAUGAACACUCCCUACUUUGAGUUUAUACCAAUGUCUAGCUUUUCCCGUUAAAGAGAACGGAAAGAGCUUCCAUUUAAGGGUCUCAUCGGACAUGCCUUCUAUGCGAAGGAGGUCACAGACUCGAUAAAACUCUCUUAGGUGUGUGUAUGGGUUUUCCUCAACUUUUCCUGAGAAAGGUUGUUUUUGAAUAAAUUCUAUGUAUUCGGGGUCUAUCUCAAAACUAGAUGCUAUGAUAGGCUUUGAAGAUUUUGGUGGUUCGAGAUGUGUGCCCAUAGGUCUAUGAAAUUCAUAGAUAGACAUGUUUGAAUUCAUAAUAGACCAGAGAUCAAGGAUUAGAUAAGAAGAAAGAAUAGCAGAGAUGAGGCAAAGGAUAAAAAGAAAAUAUUUUAUUUAUUUAUUUAUUUUUUUAUAAAAUGAUUAAACUAGUUCGUAGUCAACUCAGCAACCGUUUCCCAGGCAACGGCGCCAAAAAUGCUUGUUGACACUUGCUAACACCACUUGAAUACUAGGUUGUCAUCCCCAGCAUGGCACUAGAGUGUACUGUGGUAUUUAUACGCACACAGAUAAUCCGCAAGCGCACGGAUACCGUUGAAGCUUUUACCCGGUUAAAGGUUUUAUCGUAUCCACAGGGAAACGGGUGAACUGAUCUACGCUCUAACUUAACCAAGAUAAGUAAAUAGGUGUGAAUAGGAAAGAUGGUAGAAUCAAAUAAGAACAAUAUUAAAGGUAAGAUAACAGUGAGUGAUAAUAUGGGAAUAGAGAGUAGAGCAAUUCUAGUAUAUGGGCGAUGGUAGCAGAAUAGAGAGAAUAACUAUGGUUUCUCUACUUCAAAGGGGUAUGUCUAUGUCUGGGACGAACCACGUGAUAAGAGUACACCACAAAGGAUGCUUAUCCAUAGGCCGAUAAACCCUACCCAUCCUGCUAACGAGAGGUGGACUACAGGGGACCAACGUAACUGUCACCUACGCGGCCUACCACACGAUCCAGCUAGACAGGGGAUAUCCACAAGUAAUCUAGGUCUAAGCACCACGCUUACACCUAUACUACAACUCUAACCUAUAGGGUCCUAUAGAUUAGAAGUACUCAAAAGAGUUGUGAACCAGAACAUACAUUAUUAGUAAUUGCAUAAUGAAUUAGAAGU
Molecule: long non-coding RNA, 7344 nt
Filed under: Sorghum bicolor (sorghum)
Lineage: Eukaryota; Viridiplantae; Streptophyta; Magnoliopsida; Poales; Poaceae
Description: long non-coding RNA (SBIC_LNC016026)
Source: RNAcentral